Long non-coding RNA from Thalassophryne amazonica, 464 nucleotides. RefSeq lists it as uncharacterized. NCBI's taxonomy places the organism in Eukaryota, Metazoa, Chordata, Actinopteri, Batrachoidiformes, Batrachoididae. The record is from RefSeq and is a predicted model, not a curated record. The transcript has 2 exons.
UGUGCAUUUCUGAUCAGAUCUCAGAAAAUGUUCUGCUUCACUUAACAGGGGCCUCAUUUCAAAAAUCAUCAAUUGUGAAAUUCUGCAUAUAGUUCUUCCUGAUCACAUUUUGGGCGUCUUGCAUAAGAUCCCCACUGAGAUGCACGUUCAUUUAGCCUGCUAGUAAAGGGUGAUUACAAAAUCGAACCAACCUUUGAAGCAGCACAACAUUUCCAUAAAAGUGAUAAUCGCUACUCAAAACCCAGGAGCAAACCGUGGGGGAGAAGCAAGCUGACGGUGAGGCGGCGAUUACAGAGUAAAAUAAAGCCAGACAAUCUUACCUUUAACGUUGAUGUCUGUGCCAGGAAGCGCCAGGAUCUGAAGCACGGUUUCCACUUGGUUCUUCUUGCAAGCUCUGUGGAGGAGGGUCUCUCCUUUGACCAGGACACACACACAAUGGACAAACACACCCAAAAGAAAGAAGA